RNAcentral lists this long non-coding RNA (964 nucleotides) under Homo sapiens (human). RNAcentral's name for it is "HSALNT0312506". The record is from RNAcentral. Lineage: Eukaryota; Metazoa; Chordata; Mammalia; Primates; Hominidae.
AGUGGUGGGGCAGCCAGGCCUGCGCCGAGGGAAACACUUGGGCUGCUGAUCUCCUGGCUGCUGGUGGAGCCCAUGGGAAAUUUGCUCAGUCAGCAGGCUGGUACCUCACCAUUCCCAGCUGUGCCUGCGUUCCACAGCCCUUGGCCCCCGCAACGACUCCAGGCUCCCCUUGGCUUCCUUUUAUACUGAUUGCAAGUCUUAGAGACUGGAGGUGUUACAUCAGGCUGCUGAGCUGUUUGUUUUCUAGGAGAGGCUGGGGCCUGUGAUGUGGAGAGCCUGGGACUGAGGUGGAGGCAACAGCAGAAUAAUGUAAAGAACAACUGAGCCACCAACUGGGAACAACCCAUAGGCCCAACAGCUCCAGAACGGGCAUCCACACCACAGAAUUCAUGCUGCAACGAGAAUGAAUAAGACGAGUGCUACGCGCAACAACACUGGUGACUGUCGCAAACACCAUGUUGCAGGAAGGACAUUACGGAUAAGAGAGUAAACAUGAUUAGGAGAUUGAAGCUCAGAGACUUGUUGGAGCUCACAGCGGCACUGGGACAUUUGGACCAAGAGCUUUUCUCCCUUCCGAGUCAGUGCAUGAUGCCAGAGAACAUCCCUGGGGUUCCCAUGGUGCUGUUAUGGCUGUCCUGUUUCUUACCCUAGAUGCUUUCAGGAAAGACUAAGAUCCUUUUCCUGGAGGGAGGAUAAAGAACCUGGAGAUGAGAAAUGACAUGCCCAAGUUCACACAGCUACUGAGUGUCAACAGCUAUUAAGAGAAAGGGAUGGGAAUAUUCCACUCACUUUAUUUCCAGUCCAGUGUUCUUUUGUGCAAGGAAACCUAGAGAGGUAAUAUAGUUGCCAUGGCUGCAGAACAAAUUGUUCCAAAACCUAGUGGCAUAAAACAAUCACUCGUGGAUUCGGUGGAUUGGGAAUUCGAUAGGGCAAAUGCUUCUCCAUGCUUCUUGGUGUCUGCGGA